Molecule: ribosomal RNA, 256 nt
Filed under: uncultured bacterium
Lineage: Bacteria
Description: partial 16S ribosomal RNA
Rfam family: Bacterial small subunit ribosomal RNA
Source: RNAcentral
UACGGAGGGGGCUAGCGUUGUUCGGAAUUACUGGGCGUAAAGCGCGCGUAGGCGGACCUGCAAGUCGGGGGUGAAAGCCCGAGGCUCAACCCUCGGAACUGCCUUCGAUACUGCGGGUCUCGAGUCCGGGAGAGGUGAGUGGAAUUCCUAGUGUAGAGGUGAAAUUCGUAGAUAUUAGGAAGAACACCAGUGGCGAAGGCGGCUCACUGGCCCGGUACUGACGCUGAGGCGCGAAAGCGUGGGGGAGCAAACAGGG